RNAcentral lists this ribosomal RNA (497 nucleotides) under uncultured bacterium. RNAcentral's name for it is "partial 16S ribosomal RNA". It matches the Rfam family "Bacterial small subunit ribosomal RNA", at positions 28 to 507 of the family's 1533-position model. The record is from RNAcentral.
GAUGAACGCUGGCGGCGUGCCUAAUACAUGCAAGUCGAGCGAACGGACGAGAAGCUUGCUUCUCUGAUGUUAGCGGCGGACGGGUGAGUAACACGUGGAUAACCUACCUAUAAGACUGGGAUAACUUCGGGAAACCGGAGCUACUACCGGAUGAUAUUUUGAACCGCAUGGUUCAAAAGUGAAAGACGGUCUUGCUGUCACUUAUAGAUGGAUCCGCGCUGCAUUAGCUAGUUGGUAAGGUAACGGCUUGCCAAGGCAACGAUGCAUAGCCGACCUGAGAGGAUGAUCGGCCACACUGGAACUGAGACACGGUCCAGACUCCUACGGGAGGCAGCAGUGGGGAAUCUUCCGCAAUGGGCGAAAGCCUGACGGAGCAACGCCGCGUGAGUGAUGAAGGUCUUCGGAUCGUAAAACUCUGUUAUUAGGGAAGAACAUAUGUGUAAGUAACUGUGCACAUCUUGACGGUACCUAAUCAGAAAGCCACGGCUAACUACGUG